Molecule: ribosomal RNA, 870 nt
Filed under: uncultured bacterium
Lineage: Bacteria
Description: bacterial SSU rRNA
Rfam family: Bacterial small subunit ribosomal RNA
Source: RNAcentral
AUUGAACGCGGGCGGCAGGCCUAACACAUGCAAGUCGAACGCGAAAGUCCUUCGGGAUGAGUAGAGUGGCGGACGGGUGAGCAACGCGUAGGAAUCUGUCCGGUAGUGGGGGAUAACGUUCCGAAAGGAACGCUAAUACCGCAUACGCCCUAAGGGGGAAAGCGGGGGAUCUUCGGACCUCGCGCUAUCGGAGGAGCCUGCGUCGGAUUAGCUAGUUGGUAGGGUAAAGGCCUACCAAGGCGACGAUCCGUAGCUGGUCUGAGAGGAUGAUCAGCCACACCGGAACUGAGACACGGUCCGGACUCCUACGGGAGGCAGCAGUGGGGAAUAUUGCGCAAUGGGGGCAACCCUGACGCAGCCAUGCCGCGUGUGUGAAGAAGGCCUUCGGGUUGUAAAGCACUUUCAGAGGGGAGGAAAGGGCGCUGGCUAAUAUCCAGUGCAGUUGACGCUACCCUCAGAAGAAGCACCGGCUAAUUCCGUGCCAGCAGCCGCGGUAAUACGGAAGGUGCAAGCGUUAAUCGGAAUUACUGGGCGUAAAGCGCGCGUAGGCGGCUUGGUAAGUCGGAUGUGAAAGCCCCGGGCUCAACCUGGGAACUGCAUUCGAUACUGCUGAGCUGGAGUACGAGAGAGGGGGGUGGAAUUCCAGGUGUAGCGGUGAAAUGCGUAGAGAUCUGGAGGAACACCAGUGGCGAAGGCGGCCCCCUGGUUCGAUACUGACGCUGAGGUGCGAAAGCGUGGGGAGCAAACAGGAUUAGAUACCCUGGUAGUCCACGCCGUAAACGAUGUCUGCUAGCCGUGGGGAUCCUUGAGGUCUCGGUGGCGCAGCUAACGCGAUAAGCAGACCGCCUGGGGAGUACGGCCGCAAGGUUA